UUCACUUUGUUUUUAACAAAGUGUUAGUUGUUUUUUUUUACUGCUUUGCUCCUUAUCAACGCCAUUCGGUCCAUUGUGUAAUUGUUAAUUGAACAAAGCUCACAAAUCUUCAAUAUGGAAGUGAAAUCAGAAUCAAACCACGCACGCAAUUACCAGGAAUCAAGUGUAAUCUUAUAGAACCCCGUCAAUGAAGCAAUACGAUUUGAAUCACCAUUAAAAAGAUGCCUGCAUGUGUAGAAAGAAACACAUUGAUAUGGCUUUACAAUCCGAUAUUUAGGCGCAAAAAAGCAGGAUCCUUGUACGCAAAUCAAAAGUCUGGCGGCCAUGAUAGAUAAAAGGAAGCAUCAGCGCAAAAUGCAGCUAAAAUGUGGAUCAACUUUAUUCGAUAUUUGCACAAAUUUGCAUUCUAAAUAAAAAUACAAAAUUUCAGGUUAAAAAAAUUUAAUUACCAUUAAAA
Aedes aegypti (yellow fever mosquito) is the source of this 457-nucleotide long non-coding RNA. RefSeq lists it as uncharacterized. The record is from RefSeq and is a predicted model, not a curated record. Lineage: Eukaryota; Metazoa; Arthropoda; Insecta; Diptera; Culicidae. The transcript is spliced from 3 exons.